GUUCUCAAACAUAAGCCAAUUCACAUUAAUAGAACACUUUCAUGUGAUCCCAAGGGAAAGAGGUUCCAUACACAAACAAGAAGGAAAGCAAUACGGAGGGUUAUAAAACCAGGGACAGAGUGGUACAUUGUUGUUGUUGCUUUUUUAAUUCUAGGAGGAAAGCUGGUUAUCUGGCUUAACCUAAUUAUUGUGUGAUACUGGAUCUCUUGCAUCACAAUGGGGAAUGAAAACAGCCGCACAGAAAAUCAGUCAGAAGUUGCUGGCACAAAUAAAGUCAUCCUAAUACCACCCAACGAAGGAACACAGCAGAAUAUUUCCUCAGCCCUGGCUCCGGAACCAGGCCAACCACCUGGUAAUGGGCAAGAUAUAAAAAAGAAAAAGCAGGAAAAGAAGAGUACAGACAGAUCUGGUGGUCAAGACGUCUUGAAUCUUCUACCUGCAACUACUGCUGCUCCACCACUGCCUGAUAAUGUCUCACCAUUAACCACAAGAGCUACAAGUUCUCCUGUGCCAGGUGAUGUCAUAAAAUUGGCUUCUUCCCCUGAUUCUUCCAAACAACUGUUAGCUGAUUCUCUGCCUUGUGAAAAUGUUGCUGCUCUGGGUGCUGCUGAGCUGACUGCAGCAAGCAUUUCCCAGCCUGGUAGCUGCAAAGAAGUUGAGAACCCUGUUACUUCUGUUCCUGAGGAUGCUUCCUUGGCUCCUACACCAGCCGAUGAUGUAGAAUCACUUGCUCAAGACAGUGAGGGAUUGGCAAAGGAAAUAAAGAGGUAUUGUGUAAUGAUGCGUUUUAUCCAACUUCUGUCUUGGGUGUUCCCUGCUUCAGAAUAUAU
RNAcentral lists this long non-coding RNA (830 nucleotides) under Gopherus agassizii (Agassiz's desert tortoise). RNAcentral describes it as "lncRNA (ENSGAGG00000025613.1)". The record is from RNAcentral. Lineage: Eukaryota; Metazoa; Chordata; Testudines; Testudinidae.